RNAcentral lists this ribosomal RNA (216 nucleotides) under uncultured microorganism. RNAcentral describes it as "partial 16S ribosomal RNA". It matches the Rfam family "Bacterial small subunit ribosomal RNA", at positions 9 to 219 of the family's 1533-position model. The record is from RNAcentral.
GAGUUUGAUCGUGGCUCAGAUUGAACGCUGGCGGCAUGCCUUACACAUGCAAGUCGAACGGCAGCAUGAUCUAGCUUGCUAGAUUGAUGGCGUGUGGCGAACGGGUGAGUAAUACAUCGGAACGUGCCCUGUAGUGGGGGAUAACUAGUCGAAAGAUUAGCUAAUACCGCAUACGACCCUGGAGGUAGAAAGGGUCGGGGGACCGACGAACGGCCU